Molecule: unclassified non-coding RNA, 404 nt
Filed under: soil metagenome
Description: partial contains 5.8S ribosomal RNA, internal transcribed spacer 2, and large subunit ribosomal RNA
Rfam family: 5.8S ribosomal RNA (bases 1-121)
Source: RNAcentral
GAUGAAGAACGUAGCGAAAUGCGAUAAGUAAUGUGAAUUGCAGAAUUCAGUGAAUCAUCGAAUCUUUGAACGCACCUUGCGCCCUUUGGCUAUUCCGAAGGGCAUGCCUGUUUGAGUAUCAUGAACACCUCAACUCUCAUGGUUUGCCAUGAUGAGCUUGGACUUUGGGGGUCUUGCCGGCCUAUGGGUCGGCUCCUCUCAAAUUAAUCAGCUUGCCAGUGUUUGGUGGCAUCACAGGUGUGAUAACUAUCUACGCUUGUGGUUUUCCAUCAGGUAACCUUCAGUGAUGGAGGUUCGCUGGGGCUCAUAAAUGUCUCUCCUCAGUGAGGACAGCUUUUUUGAACGUUUGAUCUCAAAUCAGGUAGGAAUACCCGCUGAACUUAAGCAUAUCAAUAAGCGGAGGA